Molecule: non-coding RNA, 731 nt
Filed under: Equus caballus (horse)
Lineage: Eukaryota; Metazoa; Chordata; Mammalia; Perissodactyla; Equidae
Description: Eukaryotic large subunit ribosomal RNA
Rfam family: Eukaryotic large subunit ribosomal RNA
Source: Rfam by way of RNAcentral
GAGCUAUCGUAGUUAAAGCAUUAUAGUUUUAUUUCUGGCAGAAUUAAUGUAAAAAAUAAAUUACAUAAGGAUAUGUAGCCCUUAAAUGGGUAUAUGAGUGAAUAUGUGUGUGCAUAUAAAAUUCUGUGUAUAUGCAUUAGGAAUGUGAUAAAGGAACCACGACAGACCAAAGGGAAAAGGAUGCAUUAUUCAGUAGAGACAAAGGACUAAUCAGAUCAUCUUGUAGUUGGUUCCUCCAAAGUCUCCUUCAGGAUACUGGUGUUCUUGUAGGUACAUAGUUUUAUUCAGUAAAACAAGUGAUUAGAGGUCUUGGGGACUAAACUCAAACUUCAUAUGGGUAAGAAGCCCAGCUGGUACCUCGUGGGCCACUUUUGGUCCUGAGAACUGGUGCUGCAGGAUGAACAGAAAGUAUCAGUUAAGGUGCCUGAUGGGGAGGCUGCCCAUGAGACCCUAGCAAAGAUGUUGAUUGAUGCACACAGCAGGACAGUGGCUGUCCAAGUGUUACACACUGCUAAGGAGUGGUCAACAACUCACCUGUGAUGCACUAACCCUGAACAUGGAUGGCCCUGGAGUGAUGGGCCCAUACCUUCUUUGGCAGUGGACACAUGAGAGAGACUAGUACGAGAAGCACCUCAGCAGCCUGGAUCCCCCUCAGGGAUGCUAGGCUGUGAGAAGUAGGGCCACUGCAGUAAGCCUUGAGGCUUAAGGCGUGGGCUUCUGAUGGACCAGAC